This 208-nucleotide ribosomal RNA is filed under the name uncultured bacterium. RNAcentral describes it as "partial 16S ribosomal RNA". It matches the Rfam family "Bacterial small subunit ribosomal RNA", at positions 1284 to 1500 of the family's 1533-position model. The record is from RNAcentral.
UCUCUCAGUUCGGACUGGAGUCUGCAACCCGACUCCACGAAGCUGGAUUCGCUAGUAAUCGCGCAUCAGCCACGGCGCGGUGAAUACGUUCCCGGGCCUUGUACACACCGCCCGUCAAGCCAUGGGAGCCGGGGUACCUGAAGUGCGUAACCGCGAGGAGCGCCCUAGGGUAAAACUGGUGACUGGGGCUAAGUCGUAACAAGGUACC